UAUAUUUCCAGGAAAACUGCCACUUUUAUUGAACCUUACUUGUAGUAGACAAAAGCGACGCGCUCUUGAUCGACACUGUGUUAUCUUGCUACACUGUCGACGUCGUCUAGCGAGGAGCUUGCCCGAUUGGUCAUGAUGAGCCGUUGCGCAAACGGCUAGUGUUUACAGCAUAGCAAUUCCUUCCCUAACAAAAAAGAGCCUUAACAUGUGGCACCUUCAGCAGUCAUCAGGCUGCAAUGACCGCUGCUCCUAUCUUUUCCUUCCUGCACGACGCCGCUACAAUCGCCGCCAUUUUUGUUAAAUGCUUAGUAGCUUUAGUCUCGUAUCUUGUCUUGAUGUGCUCUUUUGACACUAAUAAUAAAAUAAUAGCCUGGUAUUGCAAUAUAAGCAUUUCUCGGAAAAGCUCGGAUUUUUAUUCGCAGCAAACAGCAGCAUUACAGAUGCAGCCCGAAUAUAAAAAAUAUGACGACGCCACAGUGGCCCUAGUUUCGUACAGCACAUGGCGGAAUCUGUCACGGCGAGGCAAUUUUGUGAGACAACGAGAGUCUCUCGGGUGUGCGUGUGAUCAAGUUUUUGUGAAGAGCCUGCAUGAUCUUGCGCAUGAAGUAAAUAUUUUUGGACAGUUUCUUCUCUGGACGGCGUUACAAGUACAGGCAAGCGGGUAUCAACGGUUGUUAUUGCUGUACUUUGUGGUGUUGUGAUUCACCAGUGCGGAUCGAAGAGCACCGUUUUCUCCAGCCCGGAUUCUACAAUUUGGAGAUGGUGUACAAGGCGAUGUGCAAGUGCAUUUCACACCUUGGGGAGCUGCAAGAUAUGCUUUCACAAUCCUUGCUGCAAGUGUUCAAAUAAAGGGUUUCAAGUUUCA
RNAcentral lists this long non-coding RNA (865 nucleotides) under Dermacentor andersoni. Its description in RNAcentral is "uncharacterized LOC126545816". The record is from RNAcentral. Lineage: Eukaryota; Metazoa; Arthropoda; Arachnida; Ixodida; Ixodidae.